Molecule: ribosomal RNA, 805 nt
Filed under: Staphylococcus aureus
Lineage: Bacteria; Bacillati; Bacillota; Bacilli; Caryophanales; Staphylococcaceae
Description: partial 23S ribosomal RNA
Rfam family: Bacterial large subunit ribosomal RNA
Source: RNAcentral
GCGAGUCUGAAUAGGGCGUUUAGUAUUUGGUCGUAGACCCGAAACCAGGUGAUCUACCCUUGGUCAGGUUGAAGUUCAGGUAACACUGAAUGGAGGACCGAACCGACUUACGUUGAAAAGUGAGCGGAUGAACUGAGGGUAGCGGAGAAAUUCCAAUCGAACCUGGAGAUAGCUGGUUCUCUCCGAAAUAGCUUUAGGGCUAGCCUCAAGUGAUGAUUAUUGGAGGUAGAGCACUGUUUGGACGAGGGGCCCCUCUCGGGUUACCGAAUUCAGACAAACUCCGAAUGCCAAUUAAUUUAACUUGGGAGUCAGAACAUGGGUGAUAAGGUCCGUGUUCGAAAGGGAAACAGCCCAGACCACCAGCUAAGGUCCCAAAAUAUAUGUUAAGUGGAAAAGGAUGUGGCGUUGCCCAGACAACUAGGAUGUUGGCUUAGAAGCAGCCAUCAUUUAAAGAGUGCGUAAUAGCUCACUAGUCGAGUGACACUGCGCCGAAAAUGUACCGGGGCUAAACAUAUUACCGAAGCUGUGGAUUGUCCUUUGGACAAUGGUAGGAGAGCGUUCUAAGGGCGUUGAAGCAUGAUCGUAAGGACAUGUGGAGCGCUUAGAAGUGAGAAUGCCGGUGUGAGUAGCGAAAGACGGGUGAGAAUCCCGUCCACCGAUUGACUAAGGUUUCCAGAGGAAGGCUCGUCCGCUCUGGGUUAGUCGGGUCCUAAGCUGAGGCCGACAGGCGUAGGCGAUGGAUAACAGGUUGAUAUUCCUGUACCACCUAUAAUCGUUUUAAUCGAUGGGGGGACGCAGUAGGAUA